RNAcentral lists this ribosomal RNA (1394 nucleotides) under uncultured Lactobacillus sp. RNAcentral's name for it is "bacterial SSU rRNA". It matches the Rfam family "Bacterial small subunit ribosomal RNA", at positions 13 to 1375 of the family's 1533-position model. The record is from RNAcentral. Lineage: Bacteria; Bacillati; Bacillota; Bacilli; Lactobacillales; Lactobacillaceae.
UUGAUCCUGGCUCAGGACGAACGCUGGCGGCGUGCCUAAUACAUGCAAGUCGAGCGAGCCGAACUAAUUGAUUACCUUCGGGUAUGAAGUUAGGGAAGCGAGCGGCGGAUGGGUGAGUAACACGUGGGUAACCUACCCUAUAGUCUGGGAUACCACUUGGAAACAGGUGCUAAUACCGGAUAAAAGGAGAGAUCACAUGAUUUCUUUUUGAAAGGCGGCGUAAGCUGUCGCUAAAGGAUGGACCCGCGGUGCAUUAGCUAGUUGGUAAGGUAACGGCUUACCAAGGCAACGAUGCAUAGCCGAGUUGAGAGACUGAUCGGCCACAUUGGGACUGAGACACGGCCCAAACUCCUACGGGAGGCAGCAGUAGGGAAUCUUCACACAAUUGGAACGCCAAGUCUGAUGGAGCAACGCCGCGUGAGGUGAAGAGGUUUUCGGAUCGUAAAGCUCUGUUGUUGGUGAAGAAAAGAUAGUGAGAGUAACUGCUCAUUAUUUGCCGGUAAUCAACCAGAAAGUCACGGCUAACUACGUGCCAGCAGCCGCGGUAAUACGUAGGUGGCAAGCGUUGUCCGGGAUUUAUUGGGCGUAAAGCGAGCGCAGGCGGAAAGAUAAGUCAGAUGUGAAAGCCCUCGGCUUAACCGAGGAAUAGCAUCGGAAACUGUCUUUCUUGAGUGCAGAAGAGGAGAGUGGAACUCCAUGUGUAGCGGUGGAAUGCGUAGAUAUAUGGAAGAACACCAGUGGCGAAGGCGGCUCUCUGGUCUGUAACUGACGCUGAGGCUCGAAAGCAUGGGUAGCGAACAGGAUUAGAUACCCUGGUAGUCCAUGCUGUAAACAAUGAGUGCUAAGUGUUGGGAGGUUUCCGCCUCUCAGUGCUGCAGCUAACGCAUUAAGCACUCCGCCUGGGGAGUACGACCGCAAGGUUAAAACUCAAAGGAAUUGACGGGGGCCCGCACAAGCGGUGGAGCAUGUGGUUUAAUUCGAAGCAACGCGAAGAACCUUACCAGGUCUUGACAUCUAGUGCCAACCUAAGAGAUUAGGCGUUCCCUUCGGGACACUAAGACAGGUGGUGCAUGGCUGUCGUCAGCUCGUGUCGUGAGAUGUUGGUUAAGUUCCCGCAACGAGCGCACCUAUUAUAGUUGCCAGCAUUAAGUUGGGCACUCUAAUGAGACCUGCCGGUGACAACGGAGGAAGGUGGGGAUGACGUCAAGUCAUCAUGCCCCUUAUGACCUGGGCUACACACGUGCUACAAUGGGCAGUACAACGAGGAGCGAACUUGUGAAGGCAAGCGAAUCUCUGAAAGCUGUUCUCAGUUCGGACUGUAGGCUGCAACUCGCCUACACGGAGCUGGAAUCGCUAGUAAUCGCGGAUCAGCACGCCGCGGUGAAUACGUUCCC